GAGCGCUCCACUGGAAAUGGAGAGGUUCCUGGUUCGAUACCAGGACCAGAUG
Non-coding RNA from Ixodes scapularis (black-legged tick), 52 nucleotides. NCBI's taxonomy places the organism in Eukaryota, Metazoa, Arthropoda, Arachnida, Ixodida, Ixodidae. The record is from Rfam.